GACGAACGCUGGCGGCGUGCCUAAUACAUGCAAGUAGAACGCUGAAGAGAGGAGCUUGCUCUUCUUGGAUGAGUUGCGAACGGGUGAGUAACGCGUAGGUAACCUGCCUUGUAGCGGGGGAUAACUAUUGGAAACGAUAGCUAAUACCGCAUAACAAUGGAUGACACAUGUCAUUUAUUUGAAAGGGGCAAUUGCUCCACUACAAGAUGGACCUGCGUUGUAUUAGCUAGUAGGUGAGGUAAUGGCUCACCUAGGCGACGAUACAUAGCCGACCUGAGAGGGUGAUCGGCCACGCUGGGACGGAGACACGGCCCAGAAUCCUACGAGAGGCAGAAGUAGGGGAUCUUCAGCAAUGGGGGCAACCCUGACCGAGCAACGCCGCGUGAGUGAAGAAGGUUGUCGGGUCGUAAAGCUCUGUUGUAAGUCAAGAACGGGUGUGAGAGUGGAAAGUUCACACUGUGACGGUAGCUUACCAGAAAGGGACGGCUAACUACGUG
This 497-nucleotide ribosomal RNA is filed under the name uncultured bacterium. RNAcentral's name for it is "partial 16S ribosomal RNA". It matches the Rfam family "Bacterial small subunit ribosomal RNA", at positions 28 to 507 of the family's 1533-position model. The record is from RNAcentral.